GACACGGCUGCUCUUCAGAAAUGGCUGGCUCUGGGACUGCUCGGCUAUCUUCUGGUCUGAUGUCACGGUCUGCAAGAAAAAGAAAACGCCUAUAUUCUCUAAUCAGAAGGGGGAAAAAUAACUGCCCUUGUGGGAAUGAUCUAAUGAAGCUAAAAAUAAAGCUUUUGGGAAGUCCUGAGGACUUUCGAGCGCGGCCCUAUUAUUUGAGGAGAAGGUUGGAAAGAGCUAAGGAUAGCCAUAAAUAAAAUCUGAAAGCGGCGAGACCAUGUCUAAUUCCACAUCACAGAUAAUCUCUAAGAGCCAGUAAGGAAACGCCACUUAAGGUCACAGUAGAUUAAGGACAGACCACAGAGCUGGCCAAGAGGAGACACAGGCUAACGGAGGUGGUCUGAACUGGGAUUCCUUGCCAGUGAACAGCAAAACAAAAAUCGAGGAACCAAGAUUCCCAGUAGGGACAGACCGGGAAGACUUGGCUAAGACCACGGUGUUUAGCCUGGAACAUGAUCUAGUCCGUCUCUGCUAGAGACGCAAAGUUGUCAACACAGGAAAUACUUCAAGGCAGGCAGAUGACAAGGUCAAUUCUCGGCAUUUUGAGAACGAGGAAAGGCAGUGACGGAGCAGACUGGGGUGGUGUUUGUGGGGGUGGAAGAUGCCCAAAGUAGAAGGACCCAGACGCUCAAGUAACAGGAAAGAUCAGCUUCCGGGGAAGCGAGAGCUGCGAAAGCGACAGGAACGUUCCUGGGGAGGGGCUCAAUAAAACAUAAGCAGAGUCAAAUAUGUAAUGAUCUACACACUAGGCAGUUUAUCAGCAAACGAACAACAGAAGCGGCGCCAGACCGGCGCUUCUGCACAAGCAGGAGGCGGAGCGCUGCCCCAGACACAGGCGACAACUAAAACUAGGCCCGUCAACGCCGGUAGAGUCGGGAAAGAUAAAAAGCCGCAUUUAAAACGUGUUUCUUUGGUCCCUUUGACAACAGGAGGCUGCGGCAGACCCCCGGGAACCCCGAGUGUCCCGUGCUGCCGGCCUCGUCACGGUCCCCGCCAGCACGCGCCCAGAGCUCUCCUGUCCCCCCUCGUCCCUGGCGCCCUGGGGAACGGCGCAGGCCGACUCCUGAGGGCGGCGCGUCCCCGGUAGGGACGGGAAGGUCCACGCGACACGGGUCUUGGGGAAUGGCCAAGCUUCCGCGUAAGAAACGGGUACGUUUCCUUAACAGAACGGCACUUGGCAAGCCACGUGUACAGCACGUGCCCGUGAGGAACGGCUCCCGGAAGCGCUUCCCGGUGAGCAGGUGGAGACCGCGGCCUGUGAGGCCGUUCGGCGGCUGUCUCCAGCCCCGGAGUCCCAGGGGAAGCCAGGACGUGCUCUCCACGUUGUCACGUCCGCGCGGUAACCAACGGAAUGACCAGAACGGCAGUGGCGGGGCAGAGAAGGAAGGCUUGGAGGACCGUGGGGCGUGAGCUCGGGAACUCCCGAGCCUGCACCGCUGGGUUUCCAAGGUGCAGGGCGCACGGAGCCAUAGGAUGAACACGCCCAAGACCCUACUUGGGUAGACGAGGGAGGUGGGUGAGAUUAGGUAAACGGGGCAGAGGCCCCAGGAGAGGACAGAGGUUUAAGAAUAGGGAAUCGCAGGAUGACAGCAUCCAAGAGGAGCUAAACAAGAUGAGGCUUCAGGGCGGAAAGCCCCUCCCCCCCUCCCCCGACUUAGUACAGUAGCAGGAAGCUGAUUUCACAGGAAGGAAGGACCCAAUUAGGCAAACAGGUACAGAGGGCUAUAGACCACCACGGGAUGAUGUCACCCAGAGCGGAGCUAAUUAGCAAAAGAAAGGUGCUUGUAGACCCUGAGGUGCAGGCUCUUUCUAGUCCCCUGAGACCCAACCUUCCAACCUUCCGCCAGGAGUUUGUUUUGUACUGACCCAAACCCCCAACACGGCCUACCUUCAAAACCCCCUCCCCCCCACGCCCAUGAGUUAACCUUCACGAUUUCAUGGAUUUCACGGUCUCUUUGUGUGCACCCGUCCCCAGGCUCGUAUGCCUCCUGAUCCUAAUAAAAACAAAGCAAGACCCCUGCUCGGGGCUCUUGUCUCCUCCCGACAUUAGCCUUUCUCACAUUUUUAAUCCUGCAUCCGGCUUUCUUGCUAGACCAGAGAGAACUCCAGACCCAGGGUCUGCGACAGAGAAAGUUCCAGAAGGCCAGACUGAACCGCACCAUUCCUACUGCAGAAAGGCAUCUGCACUUUACUAGCGUGAAGCUGUGGGCACUGAGCGCAGGACGGCAACACCCCUGUGCGUGGAGAAGUACUCACACACGCGGACGGGCGGACUGCCACACACCAGGGAGACCGUAGGGAUCGCGGCUACGCAUCAAGAUUCUGCAGAGACCAGGUCACCAAGACAGCCCAGAGGAGACGGCAGAAAGAGGGCAAGGGAGACAAUACAAGGACCAGGAGCCACUUCGGUGCAGAAACCACUAAUGGUUCCUGAAUGGCCUACAGAAUAAAGCCUUCAACACCUCGUCUAGACAUCAGAGGCUUGUCCUGUUCCAACUUCUUCAACCAUUUGUUUACCAUCUGCCCAAAGAAACCAGCUCCCACAAUCUUCAUGAACCCUAUGUGACACCUUUCUUACUUGUGAACCUUUGCUCAAAAUCUUCUCCAUACCGAGGGGCGCCUGGGUGGCUCAGUCGGUUAAGCGUCCAACUCCUGAUUUCAGCUCGGGUAACCAUCUCACGGUGCAUGAGUUCCAGCCCCGCUGACAGCACAGAGCCUGCUUGGGAUUCUCUCUCUCUGCCCCUCCUCCACUCA
This is a long non-coding RNA of Neofelis nebulosa (Clouded leopard), 2802 nucleotides long. RefSeq lists it as uncharacterized. The transcript has 2 exons. The record is from RefSeq and is a predicted model, not a curated record. Lineage: Eukaryota; Metazoa; Chordata; Mammalia; Carnivora; Felidae.